Molecule: ribosomal RNA, 545 nt
Filed under: uncultured bacterium
Lineage: Bacteria
Description: bacterial SSU rRNA
Rfam family: Bacterial small subunit ribosomal RNA
Source: RNAcentral
UAAGGAAUAUUGGUCAAUGGAGGGAACUCUGAACCAGCCNUGCCGCGUGCAGGAAGACGGCCCUAUGGGUUGUAAACUGCUUUUAUUCGGGAAUAAACCUACCCUCGUGAGGGUAGCUGAAGGUACCGAAGGAAUAAGGAUCGGCUAACUCCGUGCCAGCAGCCGCGGUAAUACGGAGGAUCCAAGCGUUAUCCGGAUNUAUUGGGUUUAAAGGGUGCGUAGGCGGCUUGUUAAGUCAGGGGUGAAAGACGGUGGCUCAACCAUCGCAGUGCCUUUGAUACUGAUGAGCUUGAAUAUACAUGAGGUAGGCGGAAUGAGACAAGUAGCGGUGAAAUGCAUAGAUAUGUCUCAGAACACCGAUUGCGAAGGCAGCUUACUAAGGUAUGAUUGACGCUGAGGCACGAAAGCGUGGGUAUCAAACAGGAUUGGAUACCCUGGUAGUCCACGCCCUAAACGAUGAUAACUCGCUGUUAGCGAUACACAGUUAGCGGCUAAGCGAAAGCGUUAANGUUAUANCGCCUGGGGAAGUACCGCCCGCAAGGGUG